CAGUCGCCGCGGUAAUACGUAGGUGGCGAGCGUUGUCCGGAAUCAUUGGGCGUAAAGGGAGCGCAGGCGGGCAUGUAAGUCUUUCUUAAAAGUGCGGGGCUCAACCCCGUGAUGGGAAAGAAACUACAUGUCUUGAGUACAGGAGAGGAAAGCGAAAUUCCCAGUGUAGCGGUGAAAUGCGUAGAUAUUGGGAGGAAUACCAGUGGCGAAGGCGACUUUCUGGACUGCGACCGACACUGAGGCACGAAAGCGUGGGGAGCAAACAGGAUUAGAUACCCCAGUAGUCCCUGUCUCUUAUACA
This 301-nucleotide ribosomal RNA is filed under the name uncultured bacterium. RNAcentral describes it as "partial 16S ribosomal RNA". It matches the Rfam family "Bacterial small subunit ribosomal RNA", at positions 509 to 808 of the family's 1533-position model. The record is from RNAcentral.